Molecule: transfer RNA, 69 nt
Filed under: Ictidomys tridecemlineatus (thirteen-lined ground squirrel)
Lineage: Eukaryota; Metazoa; Chordata; Mammalia; Rodentia; Sciuridae
Also listed under: 1 other name
Description: Spermophilus tridecemlineatus (thirteen-lined ground squirrel) tRNA
Rfam family: tRNA
About the family: Transfer RNA (tRNA) molecules are approximately 80 nucleotides in length. Their secondary structure includes four short double-helical elements and three loops (D, anti-codon, and T loops). Further hydrogen bonds mediate the characteristic L-shaped molecular structure. tRNAs have two regions of fundamental functional importance: the anti-codon, which is responsible for specific mRNA codon recognition, and the 3' end, to which the tRNAs corresponding amino acid is attached (by aminoacyl-tRNA synthetases). tRNAs cope with the degeneracy of the genetic code in two manners: having more than one tRNA (with a specific anti-codon) for a particular amino acid; and 'wobble' base-pairing, i.e. permitting non-standard base-pairing at the 3rd anti-codon position.
Source: Rfam by way of RNAcentral
GGGGCUGUAGCUCAGUGGCAGAGCGCUUGCUUAGAAUGCAUGAGACACUGGGUUCGAUCUUCAGCACCA